This 73-nucleotide transfer RNA is filed under the name Sphaerodactylus townsendi. Its description in RNAcentral is "tRNA-Ala". It matches the Rfam family "tRNA". From Rfam's summary of the family: Transfer RNA (tRNA) molecules are approximately 80 nucleotides in length. Lineage: Eukaryota; Metazoa; Chordata; Lepidosauria; Squamata; Sphaerodactylidae. The record is from RNAcentral.
AGAGGCUGUGGCUCAAUGGUAGAGCAUCUGCUUGGCGUGUGGAAGGUCCAAGGUUCGAUGCCCUGUAUCUCCA